GUCCUUUUCCAUCUUCUUUUAUUUAAACUUUUCUUGGGAACUUCCACAGGCUGAUAAGGUGAUCGCAAUAUUGAAGGAAGAGAAGACGGGGGACAUUCGCGAUAGGGACAUCUCACAGCAAGAACUUAUUCUUCUGAGAAGGAGAGCUGCUUCCAAGGUUCAGGCUGGCUUCCCCACCUUCUUUGUGGUCUUCAUCUUGUUCGUAGGAAUUGCAAUUGGAUAUCUUCUACGGCCAUAAAGUUAUGCGAAAUGUAAACAGAGCACCACCACACUGCUUUGUCCAGAACCUGCAGUGCUGCCAUUUUUGAGUUUGAGCAUCAUCUUCUUCAUAUUAUAGCUUCGUUUGGGAUGGUUUUUUUACUGCUUUUUGAAGCAGCUUUUUAGUACUAAAAAGCUGCUUUAAGAAGCAGUAAAAAGCCGUCCCAAACGAAACCUAUAUUUAGUAAAGUGCAUCUGCCUGAGUUUUUAUUUCUGCUUUACUUUCACAGUUAUACUUAAACCGGAUCAAACACAUACAUGUGUACCAUACAUCUUUGUUUUUGUAAAGGAUAUGUUCAGUACUC
Dendrobium catenatum is the source of this 563-nucleotide long non-coding RNA. RefSeq lists it as uncharacterized. Lineage: Eukaryota; Viridiplantae; Streptophyta; Magnoliopsida; Asparagales; Orchidaceae. The transcript is spliced from 2 exons. The record is from RefSeq and is a predicted model, not a curated record.